RNAcentral lists this ribosomal RNA (2934 nucleotides) under Bacillus velezensis. Its description in RNAcentral is "23S ribosomal RNA". It matches the Rfam family "Bacterial large subunit ribosomal RNA". The record is from RNAcentral. Lineage: Bacteria; Bacillati; Bacillota; Bacilli; Caryophanales; Bacillaceae.
CGGUUAAGUUAGAAAGGGCGCACGGUGGAUGCCUUGGCACUAGGAGCCGAUGAAGGACGGGACGAACACCGAUAUGCUUCGGGGAGCUGUAAGCAAGCUUUGAUCCGGAGAUUUCCGAAUGGGGAAACCCACCACUCGUAAUGGAGUGGUAUCCAUAUCUGAAUACAUAGGAUAUGAGAAGGCAGACCCGGGGAACUGAAACAUCUAAGUACCCGGAGGAAGAGAAAGCAAAUGCGAUUCCCUGAGUAGCGGCGAGCGAAACGGGACCAGCCCAAACCAAGAGGCUUGCCUCUUGGGGUUGUAGGACACUCUGUACGGAGUUACAAAGGAACGAGGUAGAUGAAGAGGUCUGGAAAGGCCCGCCAUAGGAGGUAACAGCCCUGUAGUCAAAACUUCGUUCUCUCCUGAGUGGAUCCUGAGUACGGCGGAACACGUGAAAUUCCGUCGGAAUCCGGGAGGACCAUCUCCCAAGGCUAAAUACUCCCUAGUGACCGAUAGUGAACCAGUACCGUGAGGGAAAGGUGAAAAGCACCCCGGAAGGGGAGUGAAAGAGAUCCUGAAACCGUGUGCCUACAAGUAGUCAGAGCCCGUUAACGGGUGAUGGCAUGCCUUUUGUAGAAUGAACCGGCGAGUUACGAUCCCGUGCAAGGUUAAGCAGAAGAUGCGGAGCCGCAGCGAAAGCGAGUCUGAAUAGGGCGAAUUGAGUACGUGGUCGUAGACCCGAAACCAGGUGAUCUACCCAUGUCCAGGGUGAAGUUCAGGUAACACUGAAUGGAGGCCCGAACCCACGCACGUUGAAAAGUGCGGGGAUGAGGUGUGGGUAGGGGUGAAAUGCCAAUCGAACCUGGAGAUAGCUGGUUCUCUCCGAAAUAGCUUUAGGGCUAGCCUCAAGGUAAGAGUCUCGGAGGUAGAGCACUGAUUGGACUAGGGGCCCCUACCGGGUUACCGAAUUCAGUCAAACUCCGAAUGCCGAUGACUUAUCCUUGGGAGUCAGACUGCGAGUGAUAAGAUCCGUAGUCGAAAGGGAAACAGCCCAGACCGCCAGCUAAGGUCCCAAAGUAUACGUUAAGUGGAAAAGGAUGUGGAGUUGCUUAGACAACCAGGAUGUUGGCUUAGAAGCAGCCACCAUUUAAAGAGUGCGUAAUAGCUCACUGGUCGAGUGACUCUGCGCCGAAAAUGUACCGGGGCUAAACGUAUCACCGAAGCUGCGGACUGUUCUUCGAACAGUGGUAGGAGAGCGUUCUAAGGGCUGUGAAGCAAGACCGGAAGGACUUGUGGAGCGCUUAGAAGUGAGAAUGCCGGUAUGAGUAGCGAAAGAGGGGUGAGAAUCCCCUCCACCGAAUGCCUAAGGUUUCCUGAGGAAGGCUCGUCCGCUCAGGGUUAGUCGGGACCUAAGCCGAGGCCGAAAGGCGUAGGCGAUGGAUAACAGGUUGAUAUUCCUGUACCACCUCCUCACCAUUUGAGCAAUGGGGGGACGCAGGAGGAUAGGGUAAGCGCGGUAUUGGAUAUCCGCGUCCAAGCAGUUAGGCUGGGAAAUAGGCAAAUCCGUUUCCCGUGAAGGCUGAGCUGUGAUGGCGAGCGAAUUAUAGUAGCGAAGUUCCUGAUUCCACACUGCCAAGAAAAGCCUCUAGCGAGGUGAGAGGUGCCCGUACCGCAAACCGACACAGGUAGGCGAGGAGAGAAUCCUAAGGUGAUCGAGAGAACUCUCGUUAAGGAACUCGGCAAAAUGACCCCGUAACUUCGGGAGAAGGGGUGCUCUGUUAGGGUGCAAGCCCGAGAGAGCCGCAGUGAAUAGGCCCAGGCGACUGUUUAGCAAAAACACAGGUCUCUGCGAAGCCGUAAGGCGAAGUAUAGGGGCUGACGCCUGCCCGGUGCUGGAAGGUUAAGAGGAGCGCUUAGCGUAAGCGAAGGUGCGAAUUGAAGCCCCAGUAAACGGCGGCCGUAACUAUAACGGUCCUAAGGUAGCGAAAUUCCUUGUCGGGUAAGUUCCGACCCGCACGAAAGGCGCAACGAUCUGGGCACUGUCUCAACGAGAGACUCGGUGAAAUUAUAGUACCUGUGAAGAUGCAGGUUACCCGCGACAGGACGGAAAGACCCCGUGGAGCUUUACUGCAGCCUGAUAUUGAAUGUUGGUACAGCUUGUACAGGAUAGGUAGGAGCCUUGGAAACCGGAGCGCCAGCUUCGGUGGAGGCAUCGGUGGGAUACUACCCUGGCUGUAUUGACCUUCUAACCCGCCGCCCUUAUCGGGCGGGGAGACAGUGUCAGGUGGGCAGUUUGACUGGGGCGGUCGCCUCCUAAAAGGUAACGGAGGCGCCCAAAGGUUCCCUCAGAAUGGUUGGAAAUCAUUCGCAGAGUGUAAAGGCACAAGGGAGCUUGACUGCGAGACCUACAAGUCGAGCAGGGACGAAAGUCGGGCUUAGUGAUCCGGUGGUUCCGCAUGGAAGGGCCAUCGCUCAACGGAUAAAAGCUACCCCGGGGAUAACAGGCUUAUCUCCCCCAAGAGUCCACAUCGACGGGGAGGUUUGGCACCUCGAUGUCGGCUCAUCGCAUCCUGGGGCUGUAGUCGGUCCCAAGGGUUGGGCUGUUCGCCCAUUAAAGCGGUACGCGAGCUGGGUUCAGAACGUCGUGAGACAGUUCGGUCCCUAUCCGUCGCGGGCGCAGGAAAUUUGAGAGGAGCUGUCCUUAGUACGAGAGGACCGGGAUGGACGCACCGCUGGUGUACCAGUUGUUCUGCCAAGGGCAUCGCUGGGUAGCUAUGUGCGGACGGGAUAAGUGCUGAAAGCAUCUAAGCAUGAAGCCCCCCUCAAGAUGAGAUUUCCCAUUCCGCAAGGAAGUAAGAUCCCUGAAAGAUGAUCAGGUUGAUAGGUCUGAGGUGGAAGUGUGGCGACACAUGGAGCUGACAGAUACUAAUCGAUCGAGGACUUAACCAAUUU